GGUUGGGGGUGUAGCUCAGUGGUAGAGCCUAUGCUUUAUCAAGUAUAAGGCCCUGGGUUCAAUCCCCAGCACAAUCC
Molecule: transfer RNA, 77 nt
Filed under: Ictidomys tridecemlineatus (thirteen-lined ground squirrel)
Lineage: Eukaryota; Metazoa; Chordata; Mammalia; Rodentia; Sciuridae
Description: tRNA-Und (NNN) (tRNA-Und-NNN-1-1)
Rfam family: tRNA
About the family: Transfer RNA (tRNA) molecules are approximately 80 nucleotides in length. Their secondary structure includes four short double-helical elements and three loops (D, anti-codon, and T loops).
Source: RNAcentral